UGAAGAAUAGCUCAUUUGGUAGAGCAUGAGACUCUUAAUCUCAGGGUUGUGGGUUCGAGACCUAUGUUGGGUCAU
Molecule: non-coding RNA, 75 nt
Organism: Podarcis lilfordi (Lilford's wall lizard)
Lineage: Eukaryota; Metazoa; Chordata; Lepidosauria; Squamata; Lacertidae
Source: the annotation of a GenBank genome assembly